UGUUGGCAAUUGUUGUAUUCAUAUUAAUACGAAUCCCUUCCAGCAAAUAGAAGAACAUAUAUAAGAAGCCAAUUAAAGUUGUACAAAAAAUAUAUAUAGCGUCCUGUUAGGAUGAACAAUCAAAUCAAGUAGGAAACUUAAAAUCCAGAGGUUGCCAUGGACAUGUUAGAGAGGCGACUGGGAGUUGGCCGGAAAUUCAACCACCGGAGACUGGGCCUCUUACUGGACCGCAUCUAAUAGUAGAUUCCGGCUUCCCAUUUUUUACGGCUCGUAGGGGAGCUAGACGCAGUUUGUCUUGUCUGUCAAAGAGAAAGAGUCAGUAUUAAGAGUCGAGGAAGAAAAUUAUACAAAGAAAAGUGAAAUAGAAAAGAUCAAAGAAGGUAACCAGCCAAAAGAUUGAUAUGAAAUUGGGAAAAUACAACUAUAACUGGAUUUUGCUAGUCGUUGAGAAGGACAACAAUCUCAGUAUCUAACAUAUGAACCAAGUUUGAACAGAGGGACAACAACCUAUAAAUCCCUGCAACAACCGAAGCAAAUGAGUUAUUAAGACAAUGGUCAAUGAUAAGUAGCAUAUAAAAGGAAUUAAAAGAGCUUUGCUGCAUUUGCAACAUUGAGGUUAUGUUCAAUGGACGAACCAGGCUCAACAUAAUUCAGAUUUCCUACAUAUAUAAGUUUCCAACAAUAUUUAAAAGAGAAACACAACUGUAAUAGAACAACAAAGAAGGUAACAUCUGAAGCACUACUUUUGUGGAAAAGGCAGAAUCUUUUAAGGAAUACUAGAGCCCCGAUCAUAUUGUACUACUAAGUGAUAAUCAAUUCCAUUUGAACAGGUCGGCUACUUCAAAACUAACCAACCAUCAUGUGUCCUCACCCUGCUUGGAAAAAAUGUUAGUGCGAUAUUAAUUAACACUAUUUCUAUAUAAAUAUGGUAAACGAGGAUAAUUUCGAAACCCCAGAUUAAGAAGGAUAAUUUUUUUGGUGUAAGAAUAUGGAGUGACCUUAUAGGAGGAGAUGACAGGCUAAUACCUUGUUUGUUGCAUUGAAGAGAAGCUGAAACUCAAACUUCAAAUCAAACUCUGGUCGCAAUCGAGGCAAACUUUGUUGACUGAAUGCAUCUGAAAGAACAAAUGGAAAAGCAGCACAGGCGUUAGCUACAGUCCAAGGCCAUCAUUGUUGCUGCAAGAGUUGUGCAGCUUGCUGUACUCGGACUGUGCUUGUAAACAAUAAAGUUUCAGAUUGCUCACUCAUCAAAUUAUACCAAUUUACAAACCUAUACACAGACCAACAUUUCACAUAUGUAUAUGGAUACCUUUUAAGUUACAGUUCAAUUAGAGAGACUCUCAUAUAACCACUAUAACCACAUUCAUGGAACAUGAGUCCGAUAGCAAAGAAAAUAAUUCCCAUUGUUACAUUUGCAGGCUGGAGAAUAUAAAGUUGGAACAUGCUCUUAAUGAGACAAAGUAGCAAGAGUGAGGGAGUAGUUUCACACGCACACCCUGGCAACCAACAUCCUUUGUACCUAAUCAUAUUUUUAUUACUUUUGUGUGUGCAUCAUGAAGAUAGUACAAUAAGAGGAAACCAGAACUUGAGUUGGUAAAACACGGUGAGAAUAAGACAAAUACCAAUCAGUCCAAGGUAGGAAGUGCUUGGAGCCCAAUGCAGGUCUAGCAGCAGCAAAGUUGUAUAUGUUGAUUAUUGUGGGUUCUGCAACACAAGAUCAGCAAAUGGUUAGUGAAGUGUAAAGGCAACUUUGUACAGUUUUCCAGUCUGCAAUGUCUAGCUAAUAACAUCCAUAUGCCUAGCCAAAAAACAACCAGAUCAAUCCUCCAUGCAAGGGCAGUAUCCUAAAGAAAGUUUAAGACACUGUUGGUGAAUGUUGCGAAAACAUGCUUAAAUCUAUCGAAAACCCAUCAAUAAGCAAAGCUAGUUAGCUAAGCAAAGAAAUUGCAGAAGAAAGAAAUAACAUAUCUAUGCUAUGAUCCAAACGUGGAACGCCUAAGUUUAUAAAACCUGAUCAUGGCUUUGAUGUAUCACUAUAUCAGAGCUAUAACCUCAAAUUUCAGAUGUGGAUAUCACAAAAGCCUUUCUAUGACAUCAUCUUUAGAGUAUAUUAAGGCUCCCACAACAACGUGGGUUCCUGGCAUCAAGCACACUAUAUAAGAAUUGUUAUAGUUCUUGAAGCUCACCGAAUCAGGCAGGGGAACAAUUUGCUUACAUCAUCAAUUAUUGUGGCAUUGCAGCGCCUUAAUCGUAAGAGGAACCCUACAAAAUGAUUCAAAGAUAGAUUCCAAUAUGAAAGAAGGGAAAAACAUAUCAAAACGAUUACAAAGCUCAAAUCUUUAGCAAGAAAAAAGAGGAAAAUACACGUAAUUACCGGCCAUCAACAAGCAAACUGAGCACCAUGAAUCUAUAAGUAGAUUUGCUUCCCACCUCCAAGAAUAAUGAAAAAAAGAAAAGCAACAACCAAAUUAACUGGUAUACAAGCUAGGAAUCAUAAUAUCUGAAACACAAAAUCAACAAUAUGAAAC
Molecule: long non-coding RNA, 2528 nt
Filed under: Linum usitatissimum (flax)
Lineage: Eukaryota; Viridiplantae; Streptophyta; Magnoliopsida; Malpighiales; Linaceae
Description: long non-coding RNA (LUSI_LNC005717)
Source: RNAcentral